UUCAUUAUGGAGAGUUUGAUCCUGGCUCAGGAUNAACGCUAGCGGCAGGCUUAAUACAUGCAAGUCGAACGGUAACAGGUCCUUCGGGACGCUGACGAGUGGCGCACGGGUGAGUAACGCGUACACAAUCUGCCUUCAUCAGGGGGAAAGUCACUGGAAACGGUGAAUAAUCCCGCAUACAACUCUUAGAUGGCAUCAUCAUAGAGUAAAAGCUCCGGCGGAUGAAGAUGAGUGUGCGUCUGAUUAGCUAGAUGGUGAGGUAACGGCUCACCAUGGCAACGAUCAGUAGGGGGCGUGAGAGCGUGAUCCCCCACACGGGUACUGAGACACGGACCNGACUCCUACGGGAGGCAGCAGUAAGGAAUAUUGGGCAAUGGACGGAAGUCUGACCCAGCCAUGCCGUGUGCGGGAAGAAGGCCCUUUGGGUUGUAAACCGCUUUUAUCUAGGAAGAAUGGCCCUGAUUCAUCAGGGNAGAGACGGUACUAGAUGAAUAAGCACCGGCUAACUCCGUGCCAGCAGCCNCGGUAAUACGGAGNGUGCNAGCGUUAUCCGGAAUCACUGGGUUUAAAGGGUACGUAGGCGGUUCAAUAAGUCAGAUGUGAAAUGUCGGAGCUCAACUUCGAACUUGCAUUUGAAACUGUUGAACUUGAAUUAGGUGGAAGUGUGCGGAAUGUAUCAUGUAGCGGUGAAAUGCAUAGAUAUGAUAUAGAACACCAAUAGCGAAGGCAGCACACUACGCUUUGAUUGACGCUGAGGUACNAAAGCGUGGGGAGCGAACAGGAUUAGAUACCCUGGUAGUCCACGCCCUAAACGAUGCUAACUGGAUAUUUUCACGAGUGAGUGGGAGUGUCUGAGGGAAACCAUUAAGUUAGCCACCUGGGGAGUACGUUCGCAAGAAUGAAACUCAAAGGAAUUGACGGGNNUCNGCACAAGCGGUGGAGCAUGUGGUUUAAUUCGAUNNUACGCGAGGAACCUUACCUGGNCUCGAACGCUAGAUGAAUAUUGGGGAAACUUAAUAGACCUUCGGGACAUCUAGUGAGGUGCUGCAUGGCUGUCGUCAGCUCGUGCCGUGAGGUGUUGGGUUAAGUCCCNCAACGAGCGCAACCCCUAUCUUUAGUUGCCAGCGAUUCGGUCGGGGACUCUAGAGAGACUGCCUCCGUAAGGAGUGAGGAAGGAAGGGACGACGUNNAGUCAUCAUGGCCUUUAUGCCCAGGGCUACACACGUGCUACAAUGGCGCCUACAGAGGGCAGCGAACCUGCGAGGGUAAGCGAAUCUCAGAAAGGGCGUCCCAGUUCGGAUUGGAGUCUGCAACUCGACUCCAUGAAGUUGGAAUCGCUAGUAAUCGCGCAUCAGCCAUGGCGCGGUGAAUACGUUCCCGGACCUUGUACACACCGCNCGUCAAGNCAUGGGAGUCNNNNGUGCCUGAAGAUGGUGACCUUACCAGGAGCUAUCUAGGGUAAACCUGGUGACNAGGNCNNNNNNNNNACAAGGNAGCCGNNNNNNNNNNNNNNNNNNGAAUACCUCCUUUA
RNAcentral lists this ribosomal RNA (1531 nucleotides) under Saprospira grandis. RNAcentral describes it as "partial 16S ribosomal RNA". It matches the Rfam family "Bacterial small subunit ribosomal RNA". The record is from RNAcentral. Lineage: Bacteria; Pseudomonadati; Bacteroidota; Saprospiria; Saprospirales; Saprospiraceae.